RNAcentral lists this transfer RNA (86 nucleotides) under Salmonella enterica. RNAcentral describes it as "tRNA-Leu". It matches the Rfam family "tRNA". Rfam says of the family: Transfer RNA (tRNA) molecules are approximately 80 nucleotides in length. Their secondary structure includes four short double-helical elements and three loops (D, anti-codon, and T loops). The record is from RNAcentral. Lineage: Bacteria; Pseudomonadati; Pseudomonadota; Gammaproteobacteria; Enterobacterales; Enterobacteriaceae.
GCGAAGGUGGCGGAAUUGGUAGACGCGCUAGCUUCAGGUGUUAGUGUCCUUACGGACGUGGGGGUUCAAGUCCCCCCCUUGCACCA